UUGGGGGCUUGUUUGAAUGGUUUGACGGAGUAAAUCUGAAUAUUUGAGCUAUAAUUGAAAUUUAUGGGUAGGGUACAGAAUCCUACUGUAUUAAUUAGACGGAAAGACCCCGGGAUCUUAAUUUUUGCCUGGGGCAGGUGUUAGUUUUUUACUAAUAUUUUGUUCCUAAUUUAGAAUGAUGGUUAAGUUACCCCGGGGAUAACAGUGUAAUAGUUAAGUAGAGAUCUUAUCGAGUUAACUGAUUGCUACCUCGAUGUUGACUUAAGUGAGGCUUAGGCGCAAUAGUUUAAGUUUUGGGUCUGUUCGACCUUUAAACUUCCAUGAGUUGAGUUAAGACCGGCGUGAGCCAGGUCGGUUCUUAUCUAUUAAUGAAACUUAUUAGUACGAAAGGACCAUAAGUUUUUUUAUUAAGUAUGAAGCGUUAUGCCUUAGUUUUGCAAAAACUGAUGAGAAGACUUCCAUACUGUUUAACUAUGGCAAUAGGAAGUUUUAUUACAAUAAUUGCAUAAAAAUAUUGUGUUUUUAUUAAGUAUAGUGUUGAUUUGGAUUAUUAGCAGUUAAUUUUUCAUUUAGAUGGGAGUCUUUUAAGAUUGUAAUAUAUAAAGGGGAUAGGGCACAGUGCCAGCAUCUGCGGUUAUUCUGUUUUCUUUGCUUUCAAAUGGACUGUGCUUAAAUAUUAUUUGAUAAGUUUGGGUGAAAUUUACUUAUGCUUGUAUUUGAUAUUUAGGUCCCAAUAAAUAGCUUUUUGUGACAGGGAUUAGAUACCCCAUUAAUUGGUUAUUAUAUUAG
This 789-nucleotide ribosomal RNA is filed under the name Skrjabinotaenia sp. EF8. Its description in RNAcentral is "partial large subunit ribosomal RNA". The stretch from base 92 to 368 matches the Rfam family "Bacterial large subunit ribosomal RNA", at positions 2073 to 2647 of the family's 2925-position model. The record is from RNAcentral. Lineage: Eukaryota; Metazoa; Platyhelminthes; Cestoda; Cyclophyllidea; Catenotaeniidae.